This is a non-coding RNA of Caenorhabditis elegans, 195 nucleotides long. The record is from Ensembl. NCBI's taxonomy places the organism in Eukaryota, Metazoa, Nematoda, Chromadorea, Rhabditida, Rhabditidae.
AUCACAGUUCAAUAUUACAAAACUAUUUUUGCAAUUUUUUUCAAAGUUACGGUAUUCGGUCUCGACGCGACAAAUUUAUGUUGAAUGAAAAGAUGUGUGCGUCUUAAAGAGUACUGUAAUUUCAAACAUUUUUACGAAAAACUAUAAAAAUUCCAAAGUAACGAGAUCUUUUGAUUUACAGUACUUUUUAAAAGC